UUGAGUUGGAUUAAUUCUAUGUUUAUUUAUGGGGCAUUUUGUGAAAGAAUUGUGUUGUAUAGACACCAAAGGUUUGUCAAUCAAAACUUUAGAAAAAGUCCACGUUGUCUUGUCUUGCACCAAUUCCAACAGACAUAUCUAAAGCAGAUUUUUUUUCAUAUUCAUUUUUGCAGGAAAGGGUAGGAAACUUUCUACUGCUAUUACUCCUACAUCUACCACCAGUUCAAAGAGUGAAGAGAAUGGAGAAAACAAAGCUAACCCUACUUCAAAAGUCAAAUCAGGCAACCAAGAAAACGGUGAGAAGCAAGAGAAACUCCCUGUUGGUUCACCGACAACUUCCGAACACCAGGAGGUCCAUGACCAGUAUGCCGACAUUAUGGACAUAGCUGAAAUGGACUAUUCUCCAGCCAGUAGAAAACCUCCAAUACACAACUAAGAGUA
Durio zibethinus is the source of this 441-nucleotide non-coding RNA. The record is from RefSeq and is a predicted model, not a curated record. Lineage: Eukaryota; Viridiplantae; Streptophyta; Magnoliopsida; Malvales; Malvaceae.